CUCCUCUCAGGGUCGCACCUGGAGAGUUUCCAGUACUCUCCCAGUCUCGCCUACGGGAGGGAGAGUCAAGCAGAAGCCAGGCAAUUCUAUUCCUAACUUGGCCAGUGGCUAGCGAGUGGAAGGCAAUCUGCUACAAGU
This is a small nucleolar RNA of Tachyglossus aculeatus (Australian echidna), 138 nucleotides long. Lineage: Eukaryota; Metazoa; Chordata; Mammalia; Monotremata; Tachyglossidae. The record is from RefSeq and is a predicted model, not a curated record.